GACGAACGCUGGCGGCGUGCUUAACACAUGCAAGUCGAACGGUAAGGCCCUUCGGGGUACACGAGUGGCGAACGGGUGAGUAACACGUGGGUGAUCUGCCCUGCACUUCGGGAUAAGCCUGGGAAACUGGGUCUAAUACCGGAUAGGACCCUGGGAUGCAUGUCCUGGGGUGGAAAGCUUUUGCGGUGUGGGAUGGGCCCGCGGCCUAUCCGCUUGGUGGUGGGGUGAUGGCCUACCAAGGCGACGACGGGUAGCCGGCCUGAGAGGGUGACCGGCCACACGGGGACUGAGAUACGGCCCAGACUCCUACGGGAGGCAGCAGUGGGGAAUAUUGCACAAUGGGCGCAAGCCUGAUGCAGCGACGCCGCGUGAGGGAUGACGGCCUUCGGGUUGUAAACCUCUUUCAGCACCGACGAAGCGCAAGUGACGGUAGGUGCAGAAGAAGGACCGGCCAACUACGUGCCAGCCGCCGCCGUAA
RNAcentral lists this ribosomal RNA (478 nucleotides) under uncultured bacterium. RNAcentral describes it as "partial 16S ribosomal RNA". It matches the Rfam family "Bacterial small subunit ribosomal RNA", at positions 28 to 523 of the family's 1533-position model. The record is from RNAcentral.